Non-coding RNA from Carassius gibelio (silver crucian carp), 508 nucleotides. NCBI's taxonomy places the organism in Eukaryota, Metazoa, Chordata, Actinopteri, Cypriniformes, Cyprinidae. The record is from the annotation of a RefSeq genome assembly.
AUGGUCAGCACAUGCUUCAGUGCUCUGAGAGUGUUUAUAGAGCUGUGAGUUUAACACUUCAUGACUGACACUGUUUAUCAUAAUAACAGACACAGCAACUACAAUGACAUUCAUCUUUCUCUUGAUCUUAGGAAUGCAUUUUCAAGACUCUUCAGGACAGGUGACUGUAAUUCAGACUCCAACAGUGACACAUGUUCAGAACGGACAAACAGUCACUCUGACCUGUAAAACCAGCAGUGCUAUUGGACGUCAGUCAGACGGUUGGUGUAAGAACUGUUUCUCCUGGUACCUACAGAAACCUGGAGAAACUCCUAAACUUUUAGUGUACUACAUUAAAACCCUUCAUACUGGAACUCCAUCAAGAUUCAGUGGAAAUGGAGCUGAUCAUGGAACUGAUUUCACUCUGAGCAUCAGUGGAGUCCAGUCUGAAGAUACAGGAGAUUAUUACUGUCUAUCUUUAAACUACAUGAAUAAUAACUGGGUGUAAACACAGUGAUAAAGAGUCGUA